CUACGGGGGGCUCCAGUAGGGAAUUUUGCGCAAUGGACGAAAGUCUGACGCAGCAACACCGCGUGGAGGACGAAGCCUUUAGGGGUGUAAACUCCUGUCAGCAGGGAAGAAUCAAUGACUGUACCUGCGGAGGAAGCAUCGGCUAACUACGUGCCAGCAGCCGCGGUAAUACGUAGGAUGCAAGCGUUGUCCGGAAUUAUUGGGCGUAAAGAGUUCGUAGGCGGCAUGCUAAGUCUGGUGUUAAAGACCGAAGCUCAACUUCGGAAAAGCAUUGGAAACUAGCAAGCUAGAGUGUGAUAGGGGUAAGGGGAAUUCCCAGUGUAGCGGUGAAAUGCAUAGAUAUUGGGAGGAACACCAGUGGCGAAAGCGUCUUACUGGGUCACAACUGACGCUGAGGAACGAAAGCUAGGGUAGCGAAUGGGAUUAGAUACCCGGGUAGUC
This 441-nucleotide ribosomal RNA is filed under the name uncultured bacterium. RNAcentral's name for it is "partial 16S ribosomal RNA". It matches the Rfam family "Bacterial small subunit ribosomal RNA", at positions 339 to 795 of the family's 1533-position model. The record is from RNAcentral.